RNAcentral lists this transfer RNA (73 nucleotides) under Acidimicrobiaceae bacterium. Its description in RNAcentral is "tRNA-Thr". It matches the Rfam family "tRNA". Rfam says of the family: Transfer RNA (tRNA) molecules are approximately 80 nucleotides in length. Their secondary structure includes four short double-helical elements and three loops (D, anti-codon, and T loops). Lineage: Bacteria; Bacillati; Actinomycetota; Acidimicrobiia; Acidimicrobiales; Acidimicrobiaceae. The record is from RNAcentral.
GCCCGAAUAGCUCAGCCGGUAGAGCGACGCUCUCGUAAAGCGUAGGUCAGGGGUUCAAGUCCCCUUUCGGGCU